Tympanuchus pallidicinctus (lesser prairie-chicken) is the source of this 807-nucleotide long non-coding RNA. RefSeq lists it as uncharacterized. NCBI's taxonomy places the organism in Eukaryota, Metazoa, Chordata, Aves, Galliformes, Phasianidae. The record is from RefSeq and is a predicted model, not a curated record. The transcript is spliced from 3 exons.
CAGUUAUACAAGGGUCCAGGAGGUAAUCAUGAGACGAGAUGCAGGCAAAAUAGUGUCAAAUGGGAAGAGAGAUUUCUGAAGGAUAACUUAAAAAAAUCAGCCACCUGUCAAUCUAAAAAGUGGUUUCAUCGGUACAGAAAUUCCUAAUGAGGGGACCUCCCAGGAUCAGAAUGCCAGCAUGUCUGAGGCAGAGAAGCCACCCUUUGACACUGGAAACUCAGUGGUCCUAACCCUAAAGCUCUGCAAGAAAUUGAGUUGGAUCCUCAGGAGCAGAGGGGCUAAACAGAUCCAUGUUGUCAGCUUCCUUAGCCAAUUGCAUCUGCCAAAAAUCUCAUGUUUGAUUUGCACACACACAGUAUAUUUCCAAACUAAAAAAAGUAAAAAGAACUGAAAAUCGUAUGCAGAAAAACAGCUGUACUCAUUUGUGCUGUUAACCAGCUGAGUCAGCCCCUGAAUCGAGCCCUAAUUAAUUUGUGCACACGGUGUAGCCAACAAAGAGUGACAACAGACAGAAGAAUGGACUGUGUUGAGGGGGCUUAGUCUCUAACAGAAAAGAUGCCUGAGAAAGGGAGCUUGAUGACAGCUAAUUGCUGCCCAAAGGACCAAAAUAAUGGGCAGCCUGGGAGAGACAGAAAAAAGAAGGGGUUGGUGGAAGUAGUCAUCAGGUGUUUGCAGUGAUUAAGUUCAUUGUCCACACUGUUUACUUUGGUGUUCAGCAUUAAUGUCCAUUUGGAACUGGCACAGUAAGGAGCCUUGUUAAAAUAAUAAGAUCUUAGUGUGCGAUGUACUGAUGGAGUCAGAACUCCA